Molecule: ribosomal RNA, 468 nt
Filed under: uncultured bacterium
Lineage: Bacteria
Description: partial 16S ribosomal RNA
Rfam family: Bacterial small subunit ribosomal RNA
Source: RNAcentral
GACGAACGCUGGCGGCGUGCUUAACACAUGCAAGUCGAACGGAAAGGCCCUGCUUUUGUGGGGUGCUCGAGUGGCGAACGGGUGAGUAACACGUGAGUAACCUGCCCUUGACUUUGGGAUAACUUCAGGAAACUGGGGCUAAUACCGGAUAGGAGCUCCUGCUGCAUGGUGGGGGUUGGAAAGUUUCGGCGGUUGGGGAUGGACUCGCGGCUUAUCAGCUUGUUGGUGGGGUAGUGGCCUACCAAGGCUUUGACGGGUAGCCGGCCUGAGAGGGUGACCGGCCACAUUGAGACUGAGGUACGGCCCAGACUCCUACGGGAGGCAGCAGUGGGAAAUAUUGCACAAUGGGCGGAAGCCUGAUGCAGCAACGCCGCGUGCGGGAUGACGGCCUUCGGGUUGUAAACCGCUUUCGCCUGUGACGAAGCGUGAGUGACGGUAAUGGGUAAAGAAGCACCGGCUAACUACGUG